UGGAGAAGCACACACCUCCUCGUCAGCGUCGUCGCCCCUAGGCAGUGGGAGCAGCAGACAACUCCCCCGCUAAAUACUCCUCUUUGCCCCCACCGACAGCAACAACAACAGAAGGAGAAGAGAAACAGCAGGUUGUCGCCGGCGUUGCGGCAGCCGAGGCACCGGGACCGCCGGCUUCUUCUGCUUCUACAGUGGCAGCGGAGGAUCCACCUGCGCUCACCGGCAAGGAGGCGGCAGGAGCAGCGGGCAAGGACGGCGGCACAAGUGGCUCACGAGAAGCAGGCGAUGGAGACCUUGGCGAGGAGCGCGAAGGAGGAGGGCAGCAGCCCCGGCGCUGGCAGUGACGGGGAGCGUGCGCGCGGAGGCGGCGCCGCAGCGGGCGGAGGACGGCGUCGAGGAAGUGCGGAGAGAUCACCCCCGACGCCCCCUGACCUCACCGACGCCGUGCCGUCGUCCUCCUCCUCGGCCGCCGAAGACGACGACGACGAUCCCUUCCUCCUGGCUGGCUUCUUCUCAGCCUUCUCGGCCUUAUCCAGAGAGAAAGAGUGAGUGAGUUUGU
This 559-nucleotide long non-coding RNA is filed under the name Oryza sativa Indica Group (long-grained rice). Its description in RNAcentral is "lncRNA OsZS97_02G034680". The record is from RNAcentral. Lineage: Eukaryota; Viridiplantae; Streptophyta; Magnoliopsida; Poales; Poaceae.